RNAcentral lists this long non-coding RNA (8707 nucleotides) under Malus domestica (apple). Its description in RNAcentral is "long non-coding RNA (MDOM_LNC005303)". The record is from RNAcentral. Lineage: Eukaryota; Viridiplantae; Streptophyta; Magnoliopsida; Rosales; Rosaceae.
AGCUUAGUGAGGUCCCAAGGAAGCUCGGAGUGCUUCGUUGGAAGUUUUUGGACGUAAGAACACGGAGAUCGACAAGUUCAAAGUUUGGCCGGAGCUUUCGAGGCUUUUUCCGGCGAAUCCCCGGCGAGUUAGGAGUCAAGGUAGGUAUCAAUCUCUUCGUCUCGUCAAGUACUACAACUUUCCUUUUUGUUUCACUCAAUUUCGUUGAGUAUUGAAGAAGUUAUACUCAUUUGAAAAAUACCCAGUUUCCGACGACCUCCGAGGCUUUCGAGGCAGUUUCCGGCCAAACCACGGCGAACUAGGUGUUGUACAAGGUACCAUUAUCUUUGUCUCUUCAAGGGCUACAACUUUCAUUUUUGAAUCACUUGAUUUCGUUGAGAAAUGACAAAGUUAUGGCAAUUUGAAAAACGGCCGCCGGAAAAACCAGUCCGGCGACCCAAGGAAGAAGAAGGUGCGCGUGGGGGCGCGUGCUACAGUAACAAAAUAUUUUAAAAAUAUGUCGACGUCCGUGACGGAGUAGAUCUCUGUGGUAUAUUCAUAUACCCAAUUUGAGCACCGUAUGAGAAAGUUAUUAAGGAUUGUUGGUUAGGUGUUCGAAUAACGUUUUAUAGUUUUGGUGAAAAUGUGAAUUGAUGAUCCGACCGUUGGAUCGUCACCAAAAUUUGAUACGUUGUAAUACGUAAUAUUUGAGGAUUAUAGGAACUUACAGAUUGGGAAUCCGAUUUGCGGAUCUUCCGAAAUUGGAGUUGUAAGUCCAUAAUAUAGAAUGUUAACUGUCACUUAGUUUUGGAAAUUGACGGAGAUCCAACCGUUGGAUGGUAAUGAAAUUUUAGGAUGUUAUCCUAGAGAUAUAUUGUGGACCUCUGGAAGUUAUGGAUUUAAAAUCUGAGUGGCAGAUCUUCCGGAUCGAACUACGUAGUGACGUAUUUUAUAUAAGUUAUAUAUUCUAUCGAUAUGAAUUCUGAGGUUGGAUUUGAUUACUAUUCUAGGCGGCGAUCGUCGUGACGCCUUGAUGUGUGGUGCUAGGGAGUUGUUGGACGAACUCCAGGUGAGUGGGCAGUUUUGUUUUCCGUAUACAUAUAUACUUGCCGUUUUCCCAGAAAUUGAAAAUGCAUGAAAUUAUGCUUUUAAUGAAAAUGUAUAAAAGUAUAUGAGAUAUAUUAGUUGAAAUGCCAUGCAUGAAAGUAUAUGAAAAGUAGAUAGAAAUGUGAAUCGAAUUGCCAUGCAUGAAAUGAUAUGGAAAGUAUGAAUUGAUAUAUGAUGCAUAUGUAUGAAUUGGUGCGGCGGACGCACAGGUGAGUAUCAGGUGAGUAUUUAAAUAUUGUUAUGAUGAUGUUGAUAUAUAUUGAGCUAAAUCCUGCACCAUGGUUUAGUGCUUAUAGUAUUCACCGCAUCGCACGCUCGCCUUGGAUCCAAGUAGAUGCUGGUCGCACAGUCCACGCGGAGUGGGUGCGACGGGCCAGUCGAAGAGUGUUAGUGAGAUUUCGACUGGUGGGUGACCUUAGAUUAUGUGCACAGAUGAUUGAUGAGAAAGCACUAGAGCGUAACUUGUGUGCAGAAGGCCGGACGGGUCACAGAGGUGACUCCGGUAGAGUGAUAGUGAUAGAUUUUGAGCUCUAGGUUCAACCGUACAGGGCUAUUAGAGGGCCUCCGGUUGAUUACUUUCUUGCACCUGAUAUGAUUAUUGUUGAUGCAUCCAUACUUAACUGUUGAAUUAGACAUGGCAUGGCAUGAUUGAUAAAGAAAAAAUGUUGAGUUAAUGAAUCGAAGUAUUGAGAAUAUAUAUGUAUAUUUAUAUUUUACAUUUCUGGGAAAGUAUACAGGUUUUACGGAGAGAGGUUACAACGUUUUGAGAAAUGUUUGGAUUUGGAAAGAAUUGUUUUACUGACCCACUCAAUUUUGGUUUUGCGCCCCUCCAGGUUAAAGAAUAGCUGAGGUGUGGUGGCUACGAGGAAUUCAACGGGGUUCUGACAGAAUGGAUCAAAUUAGGACUCACCUUCGGGUGUAUCAACUUAUAAAUUGUAUAAUUAAAGCUUCCGUACUGUGCAAAUGGUUACGUCACUCUCACGUGACGGCCAGCAUGCCCUCCUUCGGGACGGGGUGUGUCAGUUGGUAUCAGAGCAUGGUUGCAAUCUUGGACAUCUUGAGAAGUUCUAGUGAAUUCUGUCAGAACUACACCGCCUCGUAGCAAGCCACUUAGUUAGAGGAAUUUAGUCUCCCUAAUAUAGCGGUUUAGGGAAAACUAUUAUUAUGGUGAUUCAGUCUAUUAUAAAAAGGGACAUUUUAAGACGGGUUAUGAGUUGAAUUUGAAUCACCUUAUGAAAUGAUGAACCUGAGGGAGCGAAGUAACGGUUUAACCAUUUGGAAAAGAUGUUUCAGAUUAUGCAAGUCAAAGGAAUCUUCCUUCUGACAGGGGGUCGAGACGAUUACCUGGUUUUGGGUAUGAAUUUGUAUCCUGGUGGAAACAGGAGUAUGAUUUGUUGUCACCGGAGGAACAGCCGAUUUAAAAUUGUUUAAGGACUUGUUUAAGGAAAAGUUUAUCCCUCCGGCAUUUAUCGAUGAUAGUAAGCAAGAGUUUGCAAAUGUGAAUCAAGGAAGUUGACGAUAAAUGGAUAUUAUAGAAAGUUUUCAGACUUGCCUCGUUCCAUCCAGAUAUUGUUGUUAAUUUGGUAGAGGUGUUAUGUUGUUUUAAGCUGGGUGGCAAAAGGGAAGUGGUAUUUUGGGUGACCAUUAUCCAUUGUAGUUCUUAUCAGGAGUAUGCGAGAUGCUGUUGAGCCUUGAGGACUCUAAGAACAUGAGCAACGAGAAUAAAGAAGAAUAAGAAAUGAAUGGGAAUCAAAAGAAGACGAUAAAGUUUAUGAUUCGUCAUAUCAAGGAUAUAGAAAGAUUCAGAGCUUCGAAAGAAGUGAAGCUAGAGUUAAUUCUUCCAGCUGAGGUUUUAAUGUCGCUGGUCAGAAUAAAAGUGAUGGAUAUACUGGUAAUCCCAGAUAUUUGAGACAAGGUGUCUCGAGUAAAGGAAAUGUACCUUGUGCAGCAGGUACAAAAAAUUAACACUUUGGGAAGUGUGAAAUUAAUGAAUGUGUUUAUGUGAACAGAGGGGACACAGAAUUGUGAAUCGUCCCUAGAAUCAGUUGUACUCAACAAUUUUCCAUGAUAUCAUAGUGUCGAUUCAGCAGAGUUAUGGACUUAGUAGUUUGGUCGGAUUGACCGUGAGUACAGAGAGAUUUGAUGAGUUAUAUGUUCAGCCGUACAGACCAUGAGAAGUGGAUUCGAUUGACACAUGAGAAAUUUGUGAGUUAUAGGCUCAGCCGUACCGACCACGCGGAGUGGAUCCGGCCGACGUAUUAUUGAGAUAAGAGUUGAAUCAACCGUAUUGGUCAUUCUAGUUGACUUCGGCUGAUAUAUUUCUUAUUAUGUAUGAUAUUACCUAGAGAGUGGUAAAUAAAUGUAGUUGAGACGAGUGUAUGUAUUUUGCAUUGAGUGACAAAAUAGUAAUGUUAUAUCUUUUUUAGUGGUUGCCUACUUAUCGAGACAACGAUGAUUUAUCAGUAUUGCGGGCUGCAGACCGUAAUAUUAAUAACUCAUUCGUGGAUUCGUUAAGCAAGCAAACCGGUAGGUUAUUUUAUGUUAGUGUUGUACUUAUUUAGAAUGUUCAGUAUUAAUAAAGUAUGUAUUGUGUCGGUUAAAUUAUUUCCAUUAGAUUGGUUGGUUAUAAUUGUGACUAAAUGGACUGUUAUGGGAAACCAGUCACUUUCCAUCGAUCUGGAUGACCAGAGAUUACUUUUGUAAGUAUGCAAAGUGGAUUGAGUCAGGCCGUUAUUUAUGCUGUGAGAGCAAAGAGAUUGUUUUCGAAAGGCUGUCAAAAAAAUACUUAGCUCAUGUGGUGCUAAAUGAUGUUGUUUGGAGUAGUGUGAAUAAUGUCGAAAGAGUUAGACUUUUCUUGAUGUCUUCCCUGAAAGUAUACCUGGAUUGUCUUCAAGCAGAGAUAUGAGGUUCAUUAUUGAUUUGUUGCCAGGUAUAAAUUUAUAUUGGAGAUCAGUUCAUGAUGAGUUAAGAAAAUUGGAAAUUUAGUUGAAAGAAUUGGUUGACAAAAGUUUCAUUCAACCUAGUACAACACUUUUGAGGAGCCCCAGUUUGUUGGUGAGGAAGAAAAUGGAUCUUGAGACUGUUCAUUGAUUAUAGACAAUGGAGUCGGGUAACGAUUGAGAACCGUUAUCCAUGGUGAUGUAUUGAUGUUUAUUUAACCAGCUCAGAAGUAAUGGCGAAGAUUCAAAGAUUGAAUUGAGAUCUGGUUACUACCAAUUGAAUAUUAUAAGUGACGUUGAUCAUAAGAUGGUUUUCUGGACUCGUUAUAGUCUUUAUGAAGUUUGGUGAUGCUAUAUGGAUACUCAUGCUGUUUUAUGAGUUGAUGGAUGAAGUAUUCCAAUAAUGCCUUGAUAAAUUGAUAUCAUUUUCAUUGAAGAUAUUCUGGCAUAUUCUGAGCCAGAGCAGAGCAUGUAAACGUAUUAAGUCGGUGAAACAAAGAUUGGAAGAAUGUCGAUUGUAUGCUAAGUUUAGCAAAUGCUAAAGUUAGAUGAAUCAGGUGGCAUUCUGAGAUUUGUUAUAUAUUCUUAAGGUAUUCAAGUGAAUCCUUAAAAGAUAGCAGAAAUUGAGGAAUUGGAACAACCACGAACUGUAAUUGAGAUUCAGAAUUUCUUAGCUUACCAGGCUAUCUUGGAUGGUUGUGAAAGAUUUUUCAGUCAUUGCUUUGUCAUUGACGAGACUGUUGAGAAAAGAGGUUAUGUAUGAGUGGGAAGGAAAUUGUGAGCAAAUGAUUCAACAACUGAAGUAUUUCCUCACUCAUGCACGUAUUUUAGUAAUCCCAGAGAAUAGUGGUAAUCAUAAAUUUUUAGUGCUGUUUCUUGAAUGGUAUUGGAUGCAUGUUGAUGCAAAUGUUAGGGUGAUUGCAUACGUUUCACGACAAAUGGAAUCUCAUGAGAUGAAUUACCCUACUGGUGAUUUGGAAGUCACGAUUACCAUCCUUGCUGUGAAGUUAUGGAGACAUUAUAUUUUAGUGAGAAUGCAAGAUUUUUUUUACGAAUCCAAAAAGUCUUCAAUAUCCAUUACUUGGAAGGAUUUUGAUAUGAGGCAGCGAAAGUGAAUUGUAUUGCUUAAUGAACAUGAUUGAACGAUCAGAGUGAUCAUAAAGUUUGUUCUAGCUGAAGCAUUUGGUGAGAAGACUACAGUAAGAUUAAUGUCUGGCACGUUUGCCAAGAGUAUCAUCUUGUGGAUUGAAACCAACGGAAGAAAAAUUAAGAAUGGAAGAUCGAGAAGAAGUUAUACUUGUUAAAUUUCAAGUUAGGCCUUUUGGUAAGGUCGUACUCGAGACUCAAAUGGUAUGUGAAUACAAGCAAACGAAAAGUAUGUGCCUAAUGCUGUGGGUUUAAAGCAAACAAUUUUGGACGAAGUACACUGUUCAGCUUCUGCAAUAUUCCGAAGGUAAUAAGGUUUAUCAUACCAUUCGACAUUUUUAUUGGUCAGCAGAUUGAGGCAGAAAGAAAUAAACCUUUGGAUUGAGACAGCUAUUUUCUGUUUCGAAACGGAAAUGGAAAGAGAAUUGGAUUACGGAACUGCUGAGUUUCUUAAGUAUGUUGGGUGUGCAGUUUCCGAAAUAACGCCAUAGGGUCCCUGAAGCGUGUCGUGUGAAUGAAAUGCUUCUGAAUAGAGAAAGAUUCGAUCAAGAAAGAGUUUUAGUAGACCCUGAGACUAUGGAUGAGUCUCCUCAAAGUAUUCAGGUGAUUAAGUUUAACCUGAAGGUAGCCAGGAAUGGCAAAAGAGACUAACAGAUGGAUAUGCCAUUAAUCGAGUGUGUAAGGUAAAUGGUUUGAUAUUUUUGGAAAUUUCACCAUGAACAUAAAUAGUAAGAUUCAGAAAGGGAGACAAGAUAAGUCUUGAACACAUCAGUCCGUUUUGAUCAUUAAAGGAAUCGACGAAGUUGCAUACAAGUUUGUGAUGCCUUCAGAAUUGGCUAAGGCACAUAAUGUAUUUUGUGUUCGAUGCGUUGUCACUAAGUGGCAGAGUCGUUACAUGGGACUUUGGUGCAACUAUUGAGAAUUAAGCCGGAUCUGAUUGGUGAGGAACCAAUGACGACUUUGGAUUGGAAAAAGAAGGUCCUGAGAAUUAAGACAGAGUAAGUAGUAAAAGCUUUGUGAAGGAAUCAUUCAGUAGAAAAUUAUGUGGGAGAAAGAGAAUCGGAUGAGACAGAUUUACCCGUAGCUAUUGUUGGAGUAUGGUUGAUUUAGUUGGUUGCUGGAAUUUCGGGGACGAAAUUCUAUAAGGAGGGAAGAUUGUCACAGCCCGUCCCGGAAUUUUAAUUCUGAGAACGUGAAAAGACGAAAAUGCCCUUAAACGGGAGUAAGGGGCGAAAAUUUAACAAUUGGGAUUGAGUUGGACACGUGGGAUCCCCACAUCCCUCAAAACCUUCCCCAAUUCCCGUACCUUGUCACUCUUUCUCUCCUCCCUCACGAAACUCUCAGUUUUCUCUCCCUCUCCUUCGAACUCACACGGACAAGCUCCAAAACCACCCUAAACUUCUACCAACGACAGAGUUAAGACCACCAUCAAACUCCUGGAACCUCCACGAUCACGAUGGUAUCCAUUUCAGGUAAGUUUUGCUUCGGAAAACCCUAGUUUCAAAGUUCCCGUGAAAUGGUACCGUUCAUGAUCUUCUAAAUGACUACGUUUUAGGCUAAAACAAGAUCACAGCGAGCUUAGUGAGGUCCCAAGGAAGCUCGGAGUGCUUCGUUGGAAGUUUUUGGACGUAAGAACACGGAGAUCGACAAGUUCAAAGUUUGGCCGGAGCUUUCGAGGCUUUUUCCGGCGAAUCCCCGGCGAGUUAGGAGUCGAGGUAGGUAUCAAUUUCUUCGUCUCGUCAAGUACUACAACUUUCCUUUUUGUUUCACUCAAUUUCGUUGAGUAUUGAAGAAGUUAUACUCAUUUGAAAAAUACCCAGUUUCCGGCGACCUCCGAGGCUUUCGAGGCAGUUUCCGGCCAAACCACGGCGAACUAGGUGUUGUGCAAGGUACCAUUUGAAGAAGUUAUACUUUUCAAGGGCUACAACUUUCGUUUUUGAAUCACUUGAUUUCGUUGAGAAAUGACAAAGUUAUGGCAAUUUGAAAAACGGCCGCCGGAAAAACCAGUCCGGCGACCCAAGGAAGAAGAAGGUGCGCGUGGGGGCGCGUAGGUCCGUGCCUUCCUUGGCGCAUGGGGGCGCGUGCUACAGUAAAAAAAUAUUUUAAAAAUAUGUCGACGUCCGUGACGUCGAGUAGACCUCUGUGGUAUAUUCAUAUACCCAAUUUGAGCACCGUAUGAGAAAGUUAUUAAGGAUUGUUGGUUAGGUGUUCGAAUAACGUUUUAUAGUUUUGGUGAAAAUGUGAAUUGAUGAUCCGACCGUUGGAUCGUCACCAAAAUUUGAUACGUUGUAAUACGUAAUAUUUGAGGAUUAUAGGAACUUACAGAUUGGGAAUCCGAUUUGCGGAUCUUCCGAAAUUGGAGUUGUAAGUCCAUAAUAUAGAAUGUUAACUGUCACUUAGUUUUGGAAAUUGACGGAGAUCCAACCGUUGGAUGGUAAUGAAAUUUUAGGAUGUUAUCCUAGAGAUAUAUUGUGGACCUCUGGAAGUUAUGGAUUUAAAAUCUGAGUGGCAGAUCUUCCGGAUCGAACUACGUAGUGACGUAUUUUAUAUAAGUUAUAUAUUCUAUCGAUAUGAAUUCUGAGGUUGGAUUUGAUUACUAUUCUAGGCGGCGAUCGUCGUGACGCCUUGAUGUGUGGUGCUAGGGAGUUGUUGGACGAACUCCAGGUGAGUGGGCAGUUUUGUUUUCCGUAUACAUAUAUACUUGCCGUUUUCCCAGAAAUUGAAAAUGCAUGAAAUUAUGCUUUUAAUGAAAAUGUAUAAAAGUAUAUGAGAUAUAUUAGUUGAAAUGCCAUGCAUGAAAGUAUAUGAAAAGUAGAUAGAAAUGUGAAUCGAAUUGCCAUGCAUGAAAUGAUAUGGAAAGUAUGAAUUGAUAUAUGAUGCAUAUGUAUGAAUUGGUGCGGCGGACGCACAGGUGAGUAUCAGGUGAGUAUUUAAAUAUUGUUAUGAUGAUGUUGAUAUAUAUUGAGCUCAAAUCCUGCACCAUGGUUAGUGCUUAUAGUAUUCACCGCAUCGCACGCUCGCCUUGGAUCCAAGUAGAUGCUGGUCGCACAGUCCACGCGGAGUGGGUGCGACGGGCCAGUCGAAGAGUGUUAGUGAGAUUUCGACUGGUGGGUGACCUUAGAUUAUGUGCACAGAUGAUUGAUGAGAAAGCACUAGAGCGUAACUUGUGUGCAGAAGGCCGGACGGGUCACAGAGGUGACUCCGGUAGAGUGAUAGUGAUAGAUUUUGAGCUCUAGGUUCAACCGUACAGGGCUAUUAGAGGGCCUCCGGUUGAUUACUUUCUUGCACCUGAUAUGAUUAUUGUUGAUGCAUCCAUACUUAACUGUUGAAUUAGACAUGGCAUGGCAUGAUUGAUAAAGAAAAAAUGUUAAGUUAAUGAAUCGAAGUAUUGAGAAUAUAUAUGUAUAUUUAUAUUUUACAUUUCUGGGAAAGUAUACAGGUUUUACGGAGAGGGGUUACAACGUUUUGAGAAAUGUUUGGAUUUGGAAAAGAAUUGUUUUACUGACCCACUCAAUUUUGGUUUUGCGCCCCUCCAG